This 497-nucleotide ribosomal RNA is filed under the name uncultured bacterium. Its description in RNAcentral is "partial 16S ribosomal RNA". It matches the Rfam family "Bacterial small subunit ribosomal RNA", at positions 28 to 507 of the family's 1533-position model. The record is from RNAcentral.
GAUGAACGCUGGCGGCGUGCCUAAUACAUGCAAGUCGAGCGAACAGACGAGGAGCUUGCUCCUCUGACGUUAGCGGCGGACGGGUGAGUAACACGUGGAUAACCUACCUAUAAGACUGGGAUAACUUCGAGAAACCGGAGCUAAUACCGGAUAAUAUAUUGAACCGCAUGGUUCAAUAGUGAAAGACGGUUUUGCUGUCACUUAUAGAUGGAUCCGCGCCGCAUUAGCUAGUUGGUAAGGUAACGGCUUACCAAGGCAACGAUGCGUAGCCGACCUGAGAGGGUGAUCGGCCACACUGGAACUGAGACACGGUCCAGACUCCUACGGGAGGCAGCAGUAGGGAAUCUUCCGCAAUGGGCGAAAGCCUGACGGAGCAACGCCGCGUGAGUGAUGAAGGUCUUCGGAUCGUAAAACUCUGUUAUUAGGGAAGAACAAAUGUGUAAGUAACUAUGCACGUCUUGACGGUACCUAAUCAGAAAGCCACGGCUAGCUACGUG